CGUAGGAUGCAAGCGUUGUCCGGAUUUAUUGGGCGUAAAGAGUUCGUAGGUGGUUUGUUAAGUCUGAUGUUAAAGACUGGGGCUCAACCUCGGAAAUGCAUUGGAUACUGGCAGACUUGAGUGUGGUAGAGGCAAUCGGAAUUCCAGGUGUAGCGGUGAAAUGCGUAGAUAUCUGGAAGAACACCGGUGGCGCAAGCGGAUUGCUGGGCCAUAACUGACACUGAGGAACGAAAGCUAGGGGAGCGAAUGGGAUUAGAUACCCCAGUAGUCCUAGCCGUAAACGAUGAAUACUAGGCGUAUCGGGUAUCGACCCCUGAUGUGCCGCAGCUAACGCGAUAAGUAUUCCGCCUGAGUAGUACGGCCGCAAGGGUUG
This 373-nucleotide ribosomal RNA is filed under the name uncultured organism. RNAcentral describes it as "bacterial SSU rRNA". It matches the Rfam family "Bacterial small subunit ribosomal RNA", at positions 526 to 897 of the family's 1533-position model. The record is from RNAcentral.